AGCCUUAUAGUCAUUUUUUGAUAUAAAAUUGCAAAUUUUAUGGGGUAUAAUAUACUAAGGCUU
RNAcentral lists this transfer RNA (63 nucleotides) under Lopinga deidamia. RNAcentral describes it as "tRNA-Cys". Lineage: Eukaryota; Metazoa; Arthropoda; Insecta; Lepidoptera; Nymphalidae. The record is from RNAcentral.